Molecule: ribosomal RNA, 447 nt
Filed under: Triticum aestivum (bread wheat)
Lineage: Eukaryota; Viridiplantae; Streptophyta; Magnoliopsida; Poales; Poaceae
Description: partial small subunit ribosomal RNA
Source: RNAcentral
AUGCAGAUUAUGCCUGAGUUGCAGGAGCUUUGUGGGGAAUCAUCUAUGGUGUUACCGAUGGAGCUGGGCUCAUUGGAGUCCUUGGUGGUGGCCAUGACACCCUCGCUACCUCAGUCGCCCGCCUUUGUGAACAAUGGAGACUUGGUUGGUUCUAUCACUGCCUCAUCUAUGGCCAUUGGGCAUGUGGCGUCUUUGAGUGGAGAGGUUGAUGAGACAUGUGUGUUGGCACCUAACUCUGAGCAAGUGGAGACGCCUGAGUCCAUCGUGUCAGUGAUACCUGUGACUGAUGAUGUUGAGGCGGUUGGUACAUUGGCGCCCGAUCCUUCUGAGCCCAACCAACAGCUCGCCCGUGUGGAGCGUGGAGGCUCCGAUGUUGCGGGCACCCACUCGCACGUGAUUGUUGGGCAGGUUUCUAUGCGUGACAAGGUCAAUGAGAUUCUCUUUUAG